UACGGGGAGGCAGCAGUGGGGAAUAUUGCACAAUGGGGGAAACCCUGAUGCAGCCAUGCCGCGUGUGUGAAGAAGGCCUUCGGGUUGUAAAGCACUUUCAGUAGGGAGGAAGGUAGUGUAGUUAACACCUGCAUUAUUUGACGUUACCUACAGAAGAAGCACCGGCUAACUCCGUGCCAGCAGCCGCGGUAAUACGGGAGGGUGCGAGCGUUAAUCGGAAUUACUGGGCGUAAAGCGCAUGCAGGCGGCCUGUUAAGUCAGAUGUGAAAGCCCGGGGCUUAACCUCGGAAUUGCAUUUGAAACUGGCAGGCUAGAGUCUUGUAGAGGGGGGUAGGAAUUUCAGGUGUAGCGGUGAAAUGCGUAGAGAUCUGAAGGAAUACCAGUGGCGAAGGCGGCCCCCUGGACAAAGACUGACGCUCAGAUGCGAAAGCGUGGGGAGCAAACAGGAUUAGAUACCCUGGUAG
Molecule: ribosomal RNA, 464 nt
Filed under: uncultured bacterium
Lineage: Bacteria
Description: bacterial SSU rRNA
Rfam family: Bacterial small subunit ribosomal RNA
Source: RNAcentral